Molecule: ribosomal RNA, 488 nt
Filed under: uncultured bacterium
Lineage: Bacteria
Description: partial 16S ribosomal RNA
Rfam family: Bacterial small subunit ribosomal RNA
Source: RNAcentral
AUUGAACGCUGGCGGCAUGCCUUACACAUGCAAGUCGAACGGCAGCAUGGAGAGCUUGCUCUCUGAUGGCGAGUGGCGAACGGGUGAGUAAAGCAUCGGAACGUACCGUGUAGUGGGGGAUAACGUAGCGAAAGUUACGCUAAUACCGCAUACGCACUGAGGUGGAAAGCAGGGGAUCGUAAGACCUUGCGCUAUACGAGCGGCCGAUGUCAGAUUAGCUAGUUGGUAGGGUAAAGGCCUACCAAGGCGAUGAUCUGUAGCGGGUCUGAGAGGAUGAUCCGCCACACUGGGACUGAGACACGGCCCAGACUCCUACGGGAGGCAGCAGUGGGGAAUUUUGGACAAUGGGGGCAACCCUGAUCCAGCCAUGCCGCGUGAGUGAAGAAGGCCUUCGGGUUGUAAAGCUCUUUCGGCCGGGAAGAAAUCGCACAGGCUAAUACCCUGUGUGGAUGACGGUACCGGCAUAAGAAGCACCGGCUAACUACGUG